RNA transcript from Trichomycterus rosablanca, 2652 nucleotides. It is a transcript of the gene named trichohyalin-like, with no coding region annotated. The transcript is spliced from 3 exons. Lineage: Eukaryota; Metazoa; Chordata; Actinopteri; Siluriformes; Trichomycteridae. The record is from RefSeq and is a predicted model, not a curated record.
CCAAAUCUCAUUCUGUCCAUCUUCUUUUGGAGGAAGAUUUGAUAUUAGAAAAACUUCCGAAAUUGCGAAGACAAGGCUACAGCUACAGUUCACCGCCUCAUUUAAAUAUGCUAGAGGACAAAGAACGUCAGCGGGCUACUAAAAAAGACAGCCAGCAGGAGAUUUUCCCCUCUGCAAAAUGGCCGGAACCCCUCCAGAGGACACACAAGUCUACAAUUGAAAGGCUAAAAAGUAGUUCUAGGGAAGAAGAUAAUGCCAUUUUUACAGAAAAAUCUGAAGUAGACAUGUUUUUUCCUUUAAAGCCUGUGUGCCACAGGAGGGCAUUUAACCUGAACAACUGCCAGUCAGACAUAAGUGGUGGUGUACAAAAAGACAGGAAAAGACUUGAGUACCAUUUUUGUAGUACAUCUCAAAGCAAACAGCCAUAUGAGAUGAGACAGGAGAAAAAUUAUCAGGGUAAGUUACAGCCCUUUGAUACAGAAACCACUGGUACAUUAUUUAACAGGCAUCAGACUUUACAUGAGGACCAGCAAAGACUUCAAGAAAAUCAGAAGAGGUUGACUAAAGAAAUACGCAUAAGGGAGAUUGUAUUACAUGAAAAGCUGGUAAAGGCAGAGCAACAACUAAGAAAAGUUCAACUAAGGACUCUCUCUGAGGACAGGCUUAAACGUGAAGAGAUGCAUAAGAGCAUGCAUACAGGGAAGGCAGAAAGCCGGUUAUAUUAUAAUGAAAAAGUAAACUGGAACUGGGAGCGUACCCGGGAAUUGGCUCUUAAAGGUCAAAGAGAUGGACACAAUGAAAAAAGCAGAGACAGGGUGAGGGGCAACAAAAAUAGUCCAGAAAUAUUGGAGAGUUGCCCAAGAGAGAUGAAUUUAUAUAAAAAAGAAAAAAGCAGAGAAGGAAGAGAGUGGGUAAACAGAGGGAGAAAUACUGAAGUAACCACAAACUAUAAGACUCAAGAAAGGAAACAAUCCAGUGAUGAAGAGAUCACAAGGCAGAAACUAGAAAUGUCGAGAACUGAGAAAGAUAAAAUAAGGAGAGAAAGAUCAGUAAACUGGGAGAUAAAAGAACCAAACCAGAGAGGUUGGAAGAUGGAGAUACUAAAUGAUAGAGAAAAGAGGCGAGGUGAACAAGCAAUGGCUAGAACAAACAUAGAGACAGAUGAUGGUGAGAAGCGAUGGAACAUACUAGACAAGCUAAAGUCAAAUUUAAAUGGUAAAUCUAAAGCACCCCUCAGACAUGACCAAAUGAAUGGGAUAGCAGCCGACCAGUGGCCGACCCUAGAAAGACUGCAUCAAUCCAGAAUCAAGGCUGUAGUGGAGACCACCAAUAAUAAGUUGCCUACAGAGUCACUCACUGAAGUAACUCCACACACUCCUCCCACCAACCAGAAGGGUAAACGGCUCCAACAGGUGGAACUCAGUCCAGAGAGAAGCCCUGAUGCUGAUGGCCUGCUUGUACCCUGUGGCUUAUGUCAUAGGCGCUUUGCCGAAGAUCGUCUUGAGAGACAUAGCAGGGUUUGUAAGAAAAUGCAGCUUUCUACAAGGAAAGUCUUUGACUCUUCUAAAUACAGAGCUAAAGGAACCGACCUGGAGGAGUUUACGAAAGCGAAUGGUCGAUCGAAAACACCAGAGCUCAAGAAGAAUAACUGGCGCCAGAAACACGAAGCCCUCAUCCGGAACAUGCGCCAGGCUCGUGCUCCAGUACCUGGAAGAUUUCAGCCUCAAACUAAUGCAGAUCUGAAUCCUGAUUACAUAACCUGUCCUUACUGUGGCAGACGCUUUGCUCCUGGUCCAGCUGAGAGACACAUUCCAAAAUGCCAGAACAUUAAGAGCAGACCUCCGCCUCUUAAGCACCGCUAAUUAACAGACACAGCCUACUGUAAGGCAGUUAAUGUUUUGCAAUACAAAUCUGAUGCAGUGUAGUCAAUUUGUCUUCCACUGCUGGGGAUCCCUGAUUGCAUUCGAGGAGGGUAUAUUGCUGCUCAUGCUCAUCCCAGCGGACCCCUUCUUUUCACCCAUGCUUUCUGCACAGGUGCCUCUAUCUGCUAACCAGGGUCCUUACACAGCGUUUGAACACCCCACCACUUAGUCAGGUCAUCCAACCCAGCAGAUAUGGUAGCCAAUUAUUGUCUGCUGCAGGCACUGCCAAUUGUGCCCGCUAGAUGGUGCCCAGCCAACCGGUGGCAGAGCAGAGAUUCGAACCAAGGUGUUUAGAAUCUCGGCACUGAUGUGCUAGCGGAAUAUCCGGCUAUGCCACCUGGGCACCAUAAUGAUCAAAACAUUCUUAAAUAAAUUUAGCAGUAUGUAUGGGGGGCAUUAUCAUGACAGAGUGCUUGCACCGAAGGGUGCACCGAUGCUUAGCAGUUAGCAGCAGACAAUAUAGGUUAAAAAGAUCAUUUGGACUUAAAGAUUCCAAUUUUUUAUUGUUCUGGAGACCCAGCGUACACGUUCCUUACACCAAGUUAUACAUCUUUCCAAACUGGUCUUUUAAAUAAAAGUUCAAACGAUUUAACAAAUUAUAUCUUUUAGUUUUUCUUGCAUUUUAAGUUGUGUCUAAACUUUUUUUAGUAAUGAGAUUUAUACAUAUACACUGCCAUGUUUGCUAUGUUACACUGUUUAAUUAUCAAAAUGAAUAAAGCCUAAAGAAUUA